This is a long non-coding RNA of Mustela lutreola (European mink), 545 nucleotides long. RefSeq lists it as uncharacterized. The transcript is spliced from 3 exons. NCBI's taxonomy places the organism in Eukaryota, Metazoa, Chordata, Mammalia, Carnivora, Mustelidae. The record is from RefSeq and is a predicted model, not a curated record.
CAGAAACCCACAAUCGGCCUUAGCCGCGGUCUGACAUAUGCCCUGGCCAUGAGGAGGAGGAUGUGAGCUUCUUUCUUCUCCCCGGGUGGAAUGCUAUGGAAUGUUCCCCAACUCCUCUGUCCCCAGCAGGGCGAGGGAAGCAGGAAGACCCCUGGAACACCAGGAGCAAGAAAGAGGCAGGCAGGGCGGCUGGCCAGGUUUGUGCUCGACUGUAUUCACUCAGAGACACGUGGCAGCUUACAUUGGACAAAAUGAGUAAUAAAAAUUGGCUUUAAAUACGGAAAAACCAGGGCCUUAUAAUCCCAUGCUACCCUAACACUGGGACCAGGAUGGCCAUUACCAUCUGGAAAGGACCAGAACCGGGGCCUGGGGUGCAGGCACACACACACCUUGGCCAACCCCCUUCACAUACACGCACACACUCACAUACACACCCCACAGGCACACACAGGGAGGGAUGGAUUAUUGCUGGGCACAUGUGUCUUUUUUUAAGAGGGGAGUCUGGAAUGUUUGAGAGUUGGGCAGGGACAACCUCCUCCCCCCUU